UACGUAGGGUGCAAGCGUUGUCCGGAAUUAUUGGGCGUAAAGAGCUCGUAGGCGGUUUGUCGCGUCUGCUGUGAAAACUCGGGGCUUAACCCCGGGCCUGCAGUGGGUACGGGCAGACUAGAGUGCGGUAGGGGAGACUGGAAUUCCUGGUGUAGUGGUGAAAUGCGUAGAUAUCGGGAGGAACACCAGUGGCGAAGGCGACUACCUGGCCUGUUCUUGACGCUGAGGCGCGAAAGCUAGGGGAGCAAACGGGG
RNAcentral lists this ribosomal RNA (254 nucleotides) under uncultured bacterium. RNAcentral describes it as "partial 16S ribosomal RNA". It matches the Rfam family "Bacterial small subunit ribosomal RNA", at positions 524 to 777 of the family's 1533-position model. The record is from RNAcentral.